GNCNNUUGCGCUCCAGGACGAACGCUUGGCGGCGGGCCUCCNCCACAUGGCAAGUCGCAGGAGAACCACGCCUUCGGGCGUGGGGAGACUGGCGCACGGGUGAGUAGCGCGUAGGCGAUCUGCCCAUAUCAGGGGAAUAACCUCGCGAAAGCGGGGCUAAUUCCGCAUAAUGCAGCGGGGCCGCAUGGCCACAGUUGUUAAAGGCCUUCGGGUCGGAUAUGGAUGAGCCUGCGUGCCAUUAGUUAGUUGGUGGGGUAAAAGCCUACCAAGGCGAUGAUGGCUAGGGGGUCUGAGAGGAUGAUCCCCCACACUGGAACUGAGACACGGUCCACACUCCUACGGGAGGCAGCAGUGAGGAAUCUUGCGCAAUGGGGGCAACCCUGACGCAGCCACGCCGCGUGCCGGAAGACGGCCCUAUGGGUUGUAAACGGCUUUUGAUUGGGAAGAAAGUGCUGGAUUCGUCCGGCAUUGACGGUACCGAUUGAAUAAGCACCGGCUAACUCCGUGCCAGCAGCCGCGGUAAUACGGAGGGUGCAAGCGUUGUCCGGAAUCAUUGGGUGUAAAGGGUGCGUAGGCUGGCGCCUAAGUCUGGGGUGAAAUCUUGCCGCUUAACGGUAAAAAUGGCCCUGGAUACUGGGUGUCUUGAAUCUGACAGAGGUCGGUGGAAUUCGUGGUGUAGCGGUGAAAUGCAUAGAGAUCACGAAGAACACCAGUGGCGAAAGCGGCCGGCUGGGUCAGUAUUGACGCUGAGGCACGAGAGCGUGGGGGAGCGAACAGGAUUAGAUACCCUGGUAGUCCAC
Molecule: ribosomal RNA, 800 nt
Filed under: uncultured Bacteroidota bacterium
Lineage: Bacteria; Pseudomonadati; Bacteroidota
Description: bacterial SSU rRNA
Rfam family: Bacterial small subunit ribosomal RNA
Source: RNAcentral